CUUUCCAACUCUGGUUCAUACAUCAUGAAAUACUUUACAAUUAUUAAAACACAUCCUACAGAAUAAAUCUAAUAAUGAAUGUUUUACGGGCAACACAGUCCGUCGUCAAAUGCAUGGUUACAUGGAGGGCAUCUGUCCUGUAUAACCGGGUCUGUAACUGGACACACAGAGGGUAUGUUACAACCCAAAACUGCAAAAGUAGAAUUAUUCUUUCCAAUUACUCAUCAUGACAUUAAAUGAAAUAUAAUAUAUAACUGAGUUUAUUUAUAACAUAUUACGUUUUGAAUAUUUUACUAACAUUUGUGUGUAUCAAGCAGUUCGCAUGUGUUUUUGAUACAAACAUCUACCGAUAUGUAUUUUGAAGUAACGGUGAAGUGACUGAGCCUUAUUAAUGACAGGUUCAAUAAUGAAUAUUUUGCAAUUAUCGUUAUUCGUAAAACGAGAUUCACCUAAUUGAUGAAUUGUGUAUUCAAAGGAACAAAUUGGGGUUGGAAAAGUGUAGACACAUCUUUUUUAUAUCAAGGUUUUCACGUUUUUUGAUCGGUCGUUUGGUUGGCUUUUCUUCAAUUUGAAUUUGAGUUUCGCUUUUACCUUUAGUAUCUUCUAUUCCGUUACUGACAAAAGUGUCAAAGAUACCUGGUGACCUUUCUAAACUCUUAAAUUGAAGAAAAACUGGCAUUGUCGUGGCAAAAAAAACGUAAAACGACGUUAAGGCGAAUAGUAUAAUUCAAUCUCUGUAACUAAUGGUGAAUUCAAC
This 757-nucleotide long non-coding RNA is filed under the name Mytilus galloprovincialis (Mediterranean mussel). The record is from RNAcentral. Lineage: Eukaryota; Metazoa; Mollusca; Bivalvia; Mytilida; Mytilidae.